UUUCGUUUACUUUGAUAGACCGACUAUACUCUAACUUCGAUAAUUCUAGAGCUAAUACAUGCUAAAAACCUCGACUUCGGAAGGGGUGUAUUUAUUAGAUAAAAAACCAAUGCCCUUCGGGGCUCCUUGGUGAAUCAUAAUAACUUAACGAAUCGCAUGGCCUUGCGCCGGCGAUGGUUCAUUCAAAUUUCUGCCCUAUCAACUUUCGAUGGUAGGAUAGUGGCCUACCAUGGUAUCAACGGGUAACGGGGAAUUAGGGUUCGACUCCGGAGAGGGAGCCUGAGAAACGGCUACCACAUCCAAGGAAGGCAGCAGGCGCGCAAAUUACCCAAUCCCGACACGGGGAGGUAGUGACAAUAAAUACUGAUACAGGGCUCUUUUGGGUCUUGUAAUUGGAAUGAGUACAAUUUAAAUCCCUUAACGAGGAACAAUUGGAGGGCAAGUCUGGUGCCAGCAGCCGCGGUAAUUCCAGCUCCAAUAGCGUAUAUUAAAGUUGUUGCAGUUAAAAAGCUCGUAGUUGAACCUUGGGCCUGGCUGGCCGGUCCGCCUCACCGCGUGUACUGGUCCGGCCGGGCCUUUCCUUCUGGGGAACCUCAUGCCCUUCACUGGGCGUGUUGGGGAACCAGGACUUUUACUUUGAAAAAAUUAGAGUGUUCAAAGCAGGCCUUUGCUCGAAUACAUUAGCAUGGAAUAAUAGAAUAGGACGUGUGGUUCUAUUUUGUUGGUUUCUAGGACCGCCGUAAUGAUUAAUAGGGAUAGUCGGGGGCAUCAGUAUUCAAUCGUCAGAGGUGAAAUUCUUGGAUUGAUUGAAGACUAACUACUGCGAAAGCAUUUGCCAAGGAUGUUUUCAUUAAUCAGUGAACGA
Molecule: ribosomal RNA, 865 nt
Filed under: uncultured fungus
Lineage: Eukaryota; Fungi
Description: SSU rRNA
Rfam family: Eukaryotic small subunit ribosomal RNA
Source: RNAcentral